AGCAGUCGCCACGGUAAUACGUAGGUGGCAAGCGUUGUCCGGAAUUAUUGGGCGUAAAGGGCUCGCAGGUGGUUGCUUAAGUCUGAUGUGAAAGCCCCCGGCUCAACCGGGGAGGGUCAUUGGAAACUGGGAAACUUGAGUGCAGAAGAGGAGAGUGGAAUUCCACGUGUAGCGGUGAAAUGCGUAGAAAUGCGGAGGAACACCAGUGGCGAAGGCGACUCUCUGGUCUGUAACUGACGCUGAGGAGCGAAAGCGUGGGGAGCGAACAGGAUUAGAUACCCCCGUAGUCCCUGUCUCUUAUAC
Molecule: ribosomal RNA, 303 nt
Filed under: uncultured bacterium
Lineage: Bacteria
Description: partial 16S ribosomal RNA
Rfam family: Bacterial small subunit ribosomal RNA
Source: RNAcentral